GCCGAUCUUCCAGCAACUGACAAUCUUGCAGAUUCUCUCCAGAAGGGGAAUAGCACUUUUGGGAAUGUUGUUGUGAACUCUUUUACACCUGCGCAAACUACAACAACCACAACAACAUCAACCACAGCAUCAAGUGGAGCAACCCUCAAGAUCAGCUUUGGCAAUACAUUUUUCUUCAUGUUUCUGUCUUAUCUACUGGCACAUCUACUGUAGAAUACAGCAUGAUCUGCACAUUUAUCAUCACACAUUCUGUUUCCAGGUGUGUAUAAAAACCUGCAGUUUGUUUCAUUUUCACAUUAUGUAUGUCUUUUAGCAGAAAAAUAAUAUAUAAUAAUAAUAAUAAUAAUUCUGCAUUAGCCUUGUUUACCAGACCCUUGUUAGUGAAAUGCUGCUUCUAUAUCCAUAGCUGCCCUAAGGUAGACAUAGGGGAGCAAGCCUGCCUAACUUCACCAGCUCUUGAAGUUUUGUUAAUCACAUUUUUGUUUUAAAAUUAAAAUAAACUAUUAUCAUAAUCAA
Boleophthalmus pectinirostris (great blue-spotted mudskipper) is the source of this 516-nucleotide long non-coding RNA. RefSeq lists it as uncharacterized. The transcript has 3 exons. Lineage: Eukaryota; Metazoa; Chordata; Actinopteri; Gobiiformes; Gobiidae. The record is from RefSeq and is a predicted model, not a curated record.